Molecule: long non-coding RNA, 576 nt
Organism: Drosophila novamexicana
Lineage: Eukaryota; Metazoa; Arthropoda; Insecta; Diptera; Drosophilidae
Exons: 3
Source: RefSeq, a predicted model, not a curated record
CUCGCAGAAUUCAGGACCAUCGAUUGCUAAUUUGAAUGUGAUUUGAUUUAUUUGCAGGUCUAGCAGCAAUGGAGAACGUUUGCGCAUUACGAGACCCAAGUGUCCCAGGGGUGACAGAUAUCUCAAACAUAGAAUGAUAUAGCACCACAUCAGGUUGCUCAUUGAGAUACAAGGUGAUUUUGGACCAACAGCAUUGCUAAUUUGAUGUCGGAUAUUUUGUAGCAGCUUAAUCUGAGCGCAUCUGUUGUACGUCUUCCAAUUAUCUCGACCUAGAUUACGUAAACUUAAAUCUAUUGUGCAGCCUGAAGCAGACUGUUUGCUCUUUCUUUCGCGCCUGUUAUUGCCAUGGUAUUGACAGCUUCCGGCGUAGAUGAGGCCGCGGGCUGUCGACUCUGCUGCUGCCAUUCCCUUCAGUUUGCUGAGUUGAUAGCUAGAUUGACAAAUUAAGGACUACAAUGAAUUCCAAGGACCUCCACGAGGGACAAAGCAAAUUUUUUCAGGACAGGACUUUAAUUAAGCCAGAUAUAGCCAUUUUAUGUUCUAAUAAGCUAUAUAUGUUAUUUAUACUCGAUUUGU